Cygnus olor (mute swan) is the source of this 113-nucleotide long non-coding RNA. RefSeq lists it as uncharacterized. NCBI's taxonomy places the organism in Eukaryota, Metazoa, Chordata, Aves, Anseriformes, Anatidae. The record is from RefSeq and is a predicted model, not a curated record. The transcript is spliced from 3 exons.
GAGACAAACAGAGAAUCAGAACAUUGCUUUUACAAAGUGCAAAAAGUUACAAGAGCUAUUUCAGAUGAACUGAGAGACUGUUGACACUUCAAAAAUCACUAACAGAUGUGAUG